This 1632-nucleotide ribosomal RNA is filed under the name Triticum aestivum (bread wheat). Its description in RNAcentral is "partial small subunit ribosomal RNA". Lineage: Eukaryota; Viridiplantae; Streptophyta; Magnoliopsida; Poales; Poaceae. The record is from RNAcentral.
AAGCGAUCUCGCUCGCCUCCUCCACGCUUUUUCCCUUCCAUUCCUCCCUCCCCGCAGCCCCAAUAAAUAAUAAAAACCCAACCCCACGCCGAAUUCCUUAGUCCUCGAUUCGAUUUUCUCGCCAAUUCACGGGCCGCUAGUGCCGGGGGCGCGAUCGGCGGUGAGAUUCGUCGCCGGGCGGAAAUGGUUGCCGUGGCGGCCGAGGGCCCGAUCCGCGCCGACGCCGUGCCGGCGGCGGCCGGGGCCGGCGCGGAGAGGGCCGAUGCGGCGGCCGCGGGCGGGGCGGCGGCGGCCAAGGCCAGGGAGGACGAGGUCAGGGAGUACAAGAGUGACGUGAGGAAGCUGGAGGAGCUGUUCAAGAAGCUGAACCCCUCCGCGGAGGAGUUCGUGCCGCUCUCCCGCCGCCAGGGGGACGGCGCACGCCGCCUGUCGGCCGACGCGCCCGUCUUCGUCUCGCCCGCGAUCGACUACUAUGCGCCCCACCACCCGUUCCAGCAUCAGCAGAUGCACGUGCUGCAGGUGGUCGGUGGCGGGGGCGGAGCGGGUAGAGACUCCAGCAGCGACGGAUCCGCCAACGGCCAGCCGAAUCGACGGAGAAGGAAUGGCUUCAACCAGGGGAGACGUAGGAUGGGAGUUCGGCCAAGGCGAACUGAUAGGGAGGAUAGUGUACGGCGAACUGUCUAUGUCUCAGACAUUGAUCAACAUGUCACUGAACAGAAGCUUGCUGAGGUUUUCUCAAACUGUGGUCAAGUGGUAGAUUGCCGUAUCUGUGGUGAUCCAAACUCAGUGAUGCGUUUUGCUUUUAUCGAGUUCGCCGAUGAUGUCGGUGCAAGAGCAGCUCUAACGCUUGGUGGAACCAUUCUUGGUUUUUAUCCUGUCAGAGUUCUGCCAUCUAAGACUGCAAUUUUGCCUGUGAACCCCAAAUUUCUUCCUCGAACAGAGGACGAGAAAGAAAUGGUAUCCAGGACUGUGUACUGUACUAACAUUGACAAAAAUGUUCCAGAGGAUGUUGUGAAGAAUUUCUUUGAGGGAAUUUGUGGGGAGGUUGCUCGACUGAGGCUGCUUGGUGAUUACGUGCAUGCCACGUGCAUUGCCUUUGUUGAGUUUGUUCAGGCAGAAGGAGCAAUUUUGGCCCUGAACUGCAGUGGCAUGCUUCUUGGCUCGCUUCCUGUCAGGGUGAGCCCAUCCAAGACCCCAGUCCGCCCCCGUUCGCCUCGUGCGAUGUCGCACUGAAUCUGUCUCUCGUCUGAAGCCGGCGUCCAGGGCAGCAAUUCCGGGCAACAAACCCCUAGUCGUGGCCUUAGAGACUGUUGCGUCGCGGAUCAGUAACUGUCGUUGAAGAGAGUGAGUGUUACCGUUUUGGUUAUCUAGGCUAGAAGAAGGCCCUUCCUUGCUGAUCAGAUGAGAGACCCAUCUGUAUGUUCUUCGCUGGGAGCUCUAUUUUCACUUCUUUUCUUUUUGCUAUAUCCUUAUUAAUCCGUUUGUUAAUUAUGGAUGGAUGCUGUAGCUGCCUUCGACAGGCACUGGAACAAUAAUGUCUAUGGCUUGUCCUAUUUCGACUUGAUUCUCACUGAUGUUGAUGUGCGUGUCGCAUAAGAUUGCUGCACUAUGCAUGCUAUGCAGGGUAUCUUU